Molecule: unclassified non-coding RNA, 362 nt
Filed under: uncultured bacterium
Lineage: Bacteria
Description: contains 16S-23S intergenic spacer region
Source: RNAcentral
UCCCUGUUACCAGGGCAGUCUGAUUAGAAAAAUUCAACUAAUCACAAGGGUUGCGCUCGUUGAUGGACUUAACCAAACAUCUCACGACACGAGCUGACGACGGCCAUGCAGCACCUGUCACUGCGCUCUAAAAGCACUUUCUUCUUUCGAAGAAAUUCGCAGGAUGUCAAACCUGGGUAAGGUUCUUCGCUUACCAUCGAAUUAAACAACACACUCCACCGCUUGUGCGGGUCCCCGUCAAUUCCUUUAUGUUUUAGUCUUGCGACCGUACUCCACAGGCGGGAUGCUUAACGCGUUAGCUUCGCUACAUCCGGGGUCGAUACCGAAUACAGCUAGCAUCCAUCGUUUACGGCGUGGACUAC